GUCAGGCACAGUGGCACAUGCCUGUAGUCCCACCUACUCAGGAGGCUGAAGUGGGAGGAUCGCUUGAGCCCAGGAGUUCUGGGCCCUAUGCCAGUCGGGUGUCUGCACUAAGUUUGGCAUCAAUAUGGUGACCUCCCGGGAGCAGGGUACCACCAGGUUGCCUAAGGAGGGGUGAACUGACCCAGGCCAGAAAUGUAACAGGUCAAAACUCCCAUGCUGAUCAGUAGUGGGAUCACGCCUGUGAAUAGCCACUGCACACCAGCCUGGGCAACAUAGAGAGAUCCCAUCUCU
This is an unclassified non-coding RNA of Cebus imitator (Panamanian white-faced capuchin), 291 nucleotides long. It matches the Rfam family "Metazoan signal recognition particle RNA". Rfam says of the family: The signal recognition particle (SRP) is a universally conserved ribonucleoprotein. It is involved in the co-translational targeting of proteins to membranes. The record is from Ensembl. Lineage: Eukaryota; Metazoa; Chordata; Mammalia; Primates; Cebidae.